CUUUGUUUUCAUUGGAAUGUUAUGGUAGAAGCUGACACCUUUCUUGGCAAAAUGCUGCAGGAAAUGAUCAAUGCUGGUUUAGUUUGAGUACUAACAAUUACAGAUGAGAGGCUUUGUCUUGCGCUAACCCCAGACAGACAACAUGAAGCCGCUCCACCAGAAUGUGCUAAAGACAGAGAGUUGGGAUCUGGAGGAGGGUCCUGGGUAAAUGGAAACGCAACAACCUUUUGUCACCAGUCUGGUGGGUCAAAAUGUAUAACAGGCAGGCAAGCUGGCAGGCAGUGCUGUUUGAAGGUGCAGUCAGAAGCGAGUGUGGGCCUGAUGCUUUGUAGUAAUAUUUCCAGCAGCACAAUCUCAUUACUCUUUGACGUGGGAGAUGCAUGCAGGGGCGGAUUGUCAUUUCAUGCUGUCAAAAGUUCCGUGAGGGGAACCGGCGAUGGGAAUAGAACUUCAAUGACCUGCAUGUCUCUGGCUCAUUGAGACUGAAUAUAUUAAGCCAAAAAACACAGAU
Corythoichthys intestinalis (scribbled pipefish) is the source of this 511-nucleotide long non-coding RNA. RefSeq lists it as uncharacterized. The transcript has 4 exons. The record is from RefSeq and is a predicted model, not a curated record. Lineage: Eukaryota; Metazoa; Chordata; Actinopteri; Syngnathiformes; Syngnathidae.